RNAcentral lists this long non-coding RNA (1419 nucleotides) under Gossypium barbadense (sea-island cotton). RNAcentral's name for it is "long non-coding RNA (GBAR_LNC015018)". Lineage: Eukaryota; Viridiplantae; Streptophyta; Magnoliopsida; Malvales; Malvaceae. The record is from RNAcentral.
AACUGAAAAACAAAGAGAGUGGACAAUAAUUUCUAGAAAAGUUUUCAAAACCUCAAAAUCAAGAUUUUUAUAAUAACCAUUUUUUACAAAUUUCAUUUUUCUUUAAAUUUUUCAUUUUAAAUUAUGUCACAUAAGAUCUAGCGUCUCAUUUAAAGUCAAUGUUAUUGAUAUAACAUCUAUAGUUUAAGGAUGCAAUUAGAAUGGUUUAAAGUUUAAGGAUCAGUUUAGAAUGAGAGUCGUAGUUUGGGGAUAUGUGAUAUAAAUAACUCAUUACAAUAUGAAAAUAGGAUUAUUAUAGUGUAUUUAAUUUAUAAAUAUUUUUUACUCAAUGUCUUAUGUUAGUGCAAAAAUAAUGGUGGUAAAGAGAUUAAAUGUAGCAUAAGACAAAAAGAAAUCUAAAUACACCACACCAAAAAUAAAAUUCAAUUAAAAGGGGACAUUAAUCUGAUUUAACCCGGUCCUUAGCAGAACGGGCUGAGUCCAACUUCUUGCAACUAAAACAAGGAUGAAAUGCAACCAUUGACUUUACUAGCAAGCUUGCUUCCCGUCGGAUAAACAAAUAAUUAUUUAUAUCAAUUACUUUUUUUUUAAUUUUGUUUUUCAACAAAAUUUUUAUUAAAUCAAAUAACAAAUAUGUGUUAGAGAUAAAUUGUUUUAGGCCAAAUUAUGAUUAUGAUCCUUUUGUUAUGUUUAAAUUUAGGAUUUAUUAUCUAUACUUAAAUUUGACAUAAAUUGAUUUUUCUACAUAAUAUCAUUAUUUAGUCAAAAUAGUUGACAUCUUUAAUUUUUCAUGCUAAAAUAUUUUUCAUGUUAAAAUUAGCGACCUAAAAAUUUUAGCACCGGCGCUGGUCGAAGUAAUUCUUGCAAAUUUGAAAACUGAACCUCGAUUGUGUUUGAAAAAAAGAGUCGCCACCGAUCUUUUUUCUAGGUAUAAUCGGACACCUAAUAAAUUCUUUUUUAAAAGAAAAAUUUAAAAAUAAAUUUUAGGUCUACGUGAAAAUCUAAAGAAAAUUAGAGUUCGGGAGUCGGUUACGCGCGAGGAAGGUAUUAGCACCCUCGCGACGCCAAAAAUUGGUAUCUCGUUAAACGCGCGUUGUUUUAAUUCUUAAAAAAUACGAAUUCAAUUUAAUAUUUACUCGUGAUCUAAUUGAAAUAUGAGAAUUUAAAAAAACACGAGAAUUUUGAAGCAAUUUUUUUAAUGGAAUUUUUGAAACACGAAAAUCUUUGAAACACGGAUUUUUUUUAAACACGACAAUUUUUUAAACACGAGAAUUUUUUCAAAACACAAAAAGUUUUUAAAACACGAAAAUUUGUGAAACACUAGAGUCGUUGAAAACACGGAAAUUUGUGAAAACACAAAAAUUUUUGAAACAUGGAAAUUUUUAGAAAACACAAAAAUUUUUGGAUCACCGGAAUUUU